CAGUGUGACUCGUCACACUAUCAUUAACUGAAUCCAUAGGUUAAUGAGGCGAACCGGGGGAACUGAAACAUCUAAGUACCCCGAGGAAAAGAAAUCAACCGAGAUUCCCCCAGUAGCGGCGAGCGAACGGGGAGGAGCCCAGAGCCUGAAUCAGCAUGUGUGUUAGUGGAAGCGUCUGGAAAGGCGCGCGAUACAGGGUGACAGCCCCGUACACAAAAGCGCAUGUGCUGUGAGCUCGAUGAGUAGGGCGGGACACGUGGUAUCCUGUCUGAAUAUGGGGGGACCAUCCUCCAAGGCUAAAUACUCCUGACUGACCGAUAGUGAACCAGUACCGUGAGGGAAAGGCGAAAAGAACCCCGGCGAGGGGAGUGAAAAAGAACCUGAAACCGUGUACGUACAAGCAGUGGGAGCACAGGUUUACCUGUGUGACUGCGUACCUUUUGUAUAAUGGGUCAGCGACUUAUAUUCUGUAGCAAGGUUAACCGUAUAGGGGAGCCGUAGGGAAACCGAGUCUUAACCGGGCGUUAAGUUGCAGGGUAUAGACCCGAAACCCGGUGAUCUAGCCAUGGGCAGGUUGAAGGUUGGGUAACACUAACUGGAGGACCGAACCGACUAAUGUUGAAAAAUUAGCGGAUGACCUGUGGCUGGGGGUGAAAGGCCAAUCAAACCGGGAGAUAGCUGGUUCUCCCCGAAAGCUAUUUAGGUAGCGCCUCGUGAAUUCAUCUCCGGGGGUAGAGCACUGUUUCGGCUAGGGGGCCAUCCCGGCUUACCAACCCGAUGCAAACUGCGAAUACCGGAGAAUGUUAUCACGGGAGACACACGGCGGGUGCUAACGUCCGUCGUGAAGAGGGAAACAACCCAGACCGCCAGCUAAGGUCCCAAAGUCAUGGUUAAGUGGGAAACGAUGUGGGAAGGCCCAGACAGCCAGGAUGUUGGCUUAGAAGCAGCCAUCAUUUAAAGAAAGCGUAAUAGCUCACUGGUCGAGUCGGCCUGCGCGGAAGAUGUAACGGGGCUAAACCAUGCACCGAAGCUGCGGCAGCGACGCUGAUGCGUUGUUGGGUAGGGGAGCGUUCUGUAAGCCUGCGAAGGU
Molecule: ribosomal RNA, 1090 nt
Filed under: Salmonella enterica
Lineage: Bacteria; Pseudomonadati; Pseudomonadota; Gammaproteobacteria; Enterobacterales; Enterobacteriaceae
Description: partial 23S ribosomal RNA
Rfam family: Bacterial large subunit ribosomal RNA
Source: RNAcentral